Molecule: ribosomal RNA, 253 nt
Filed under: uncultured bacterium
Lineage: Bacteria
Description: partial 16S ribosomal RNA
Rfam family: Bacterial small subunit ribosomal RNA
Source: RNAcentral
UACGGAGGGUGCAAGCGUUAUCCGGAUUCACUGGGUUUAAAGGGUGCGUAGGUGGGUUGGUAAGUCAGUGGUGAAAUCUCCAGGCUUAACUUGGAAACUGCCAUUGAUACUAUCAAUCUUGAAUACCGUGGAGGUCAGCGGAAUAUGUCAUGUAGCGGUGAAAUGCUUAGAUAUGACAUAGAACACCAAUUGCGAAGGCAGCUGGCUACACGAAUAUUGACACUGAUGCACGAAAGCGCGGGGAUCAAACAGG